UACGUAGGGGGCAAGCGUUGUCCGGAUUUAUUGGGCGUAAAGAGCGUGUAGGCGGCCAGACAGGUCUGCUGUGAAAACUCGAGGCUCAACCUCGAGACGCCGGUGGAAACCGUCUGGCUAGAGUCCGGAAGAGGAGAGUGGAAUUCCUGGUGUAGCGGUGAAAUGCGCAGAUAUCAGGAAGAACACCCGUGGCUAAGGCGGCUCUCUAGUACGGUACUGACGCUGAGGAGCGAAAGCGUGGGGAGCGAACAGG
This 253-nucleotide ribosomal RNA is filed under the name uncultured bacterium. RNAcentral's name for it is "partial 16S ribosomal RNA". It matches the Rfam family "Bacterial small subunit ribosomal RNA", at positions 524 to 776 of the family's 1533-position model. The record is from RNAcentral.